RNAcentral lists this transfer RNA (75 nucleotides) under Candidatus Pacebacteria bacterium CG10_big_fil_rev_8_21_14_0_10_56_10. RNAcentral describes it as "tRNA-Arg". It matches the Rfam family "tRNA". From Rfam's summary of the family: Transfer RNA (tRNA) molecules are approximately 80 nucleotides in length. Their secondary structure includes four short double-helical elements and three loops (D, anti-codon, and T loops). Lineage: Bacteria; Bacillati; Minisyncoccota. The record is from RNAcentral.
GCUCUCAUAGUUUAAUGGACAAAACAAAGGUUUCCGGAACCUUAGAUGGGGGUUCGAUUCCCUCUGAGAGCACAA